CGGCGGACGGGUGAGUAACGCGUGGGUAACCUGCCUCAUACAGGGGGAUAACAGUUGGAAACGGCUGCUAAUACCGCAUAAGCGCACAGUACCGCAUGGUACGGUGUGAAAAACUCCGGUGGUAUGAGAUGGACCCGCGUCUGAUUAGGUAGUUGGUGGGGUAACGGCCUACCAAGCCGACGAUCAGUAGCCGACCUGAGAGGGUGACCGGCCACAUUGGGACUGAGACACGGCCCAAACUCCUACGGGAGCAGCAUG
Molecule: ribosomal RNA, 258 nt
Filed under: uncultured bacterium
Lineage: Bacteria
Description: partial 16S ribosomal RNA
Rfam family: Bacterial small subunit ribosomal RNA
Source: RNAcentral